This 698-nucleotide ribosomal RNA is filed under the name Parageobacillus toebii. RNAcentral describes it as "bacterial SSU rRNA". It matches the Rfam family "Bacterial small subunit ribosomal RNA", at positions 29 to 707 of the family's 1533-position model. The record is from RNAcentral. Lineage: Bacteria; Bacillati; Bacillota; Bacilli; Caryophanales; Anoxybacillaceae.
ACGAACGCUGGCGGCGUGCCUAAUACAUGCAAGUCGAGCGGACCGAACGGAAGCUUGCUUCUGUUCGGUUAGCGGCGGACGGGUGAGUAACACGUGGGUAACCUGCCCGUAAGACCGGGAUAACUCCGGGAAACCGGGGCUAAUACCGGAUAACACCGAAGACCGCAUGGUCUUUGGUUGAAAGGUGGCUUUUGCUACCACUUACGGAUGGGCCCGCGGCGCAUUAGCUAGUUGGUGAGGUAACGGCUCACCAAGGCGACGAUGCGUAGCCGGCCUGAGAGGGUGACCGGCCACACUGGGACUGAGACACGGCCCAGACUCCUACGGGAGGCAGCAGUAGGGAAUCUUCCGCAAUGGACGAAAGUCUGACGGAGCGACGCCGCGUGAGCGAAGAAGGUCUUCGGAUCGUAAAGCUCUGUUGUUAGGGAAGAAGAAGUACCGUUCGAAUAGGGCGGUACGGUGACGGUACCUAACGAGAAAGCCCCGGCUAACUACGUGCCAGCAGCCGCGGUAAUACGUAGGGGGCGAGCGUUGUCCGGAAUUAUUGGGCGUAAAGCGCGCGCAGGCGGUCCCUUAAGUCUGAUGUGAAAGCCCACGGCUCAACCGUGGAGGGUCAUUGGAAACUGGGGGACUUAAGUCCAAAAAAGGAAACCGAAUUUCCCACGAAAACCGUUAAAAGGGUUAAAGUUUUGAAGGAC